GACGAACGCUGGCGGCGUGCUUAACACAUGCAAGUCGAACGGAAAGGCCCUGCUUGCAGGGUACUCUAGUGGCGAACGGGUGAGUAACACGUGGGUGAUCUGCCCUGCACUUCGUGAUAAGCCUGCGGAACUGGGUCUAAUACCGGGUAGGAGCCAUCUUUCGUGUUGUGGUUGGAAAGAUUUUUGGGUGUGGGGUGAGCUCGCGGGCUAACUGCUUGUUGGUGGGGUAAUGGCCUACCAAGGCGGCCACGGGUAGCCGGCCUGGGUGGGUGGACGGCCAAAUUGGGGCUGGGAUAAGGCCCAGAAUCCUACGGGAGGCAGCAGGGGGGAAUAAUGCAAAAUGGGCGGAAGCCUGAUGCAGCGACGCCGCGGGGGGGAUGACGGGCUUCGGGUUGGAAACUCCUUUCGCUAGGGAAGAAGCUUUUUGUGACGGUACCUAGAUAAGAAGCACCGGCUAACUACGUG
Molecule: ribosomal RNA, 465 nt
Filed under: uncultured bacterium
Lineage: Bacteria
Description: partial 16S ribosomal RNA
Rfam family: Bacterial small subunit ribosomal RNA
Source: RNAcentral